RNAcentral lists this ribosomal RNA (341 nucleotides) under uncultured eukaryote. RNAcentral describes it as "SSU rRNA". It matches the Rfam family "Eukaryotic small subunit ribosomal RNA", at positions 594 to 945 of the family's 1831-position model. The record is from RNAcentral.
AUAGCGUAUAUUAAAGUUGUUGCAGUUAAAAAGCUCGUAGUUGGAUUUCUGAGAGGGUGACAAUGUCCGCCUCGAUGCGUGAUCAGCGGCGCCCUCUCAUCCUUCUGUUAACGUUUCUGAUAUUCACUUAUUGGUCUCGGGCUCAGAUAUUUUACCUUGAGAAAAUUAGAGUGUUCCAGGCAGGCUUGCGCCGGAAUACAUUAGCAUGGAAUAAUAGAAUAGGACUUUAGUCUCCUUUGUUGGUUUGAGGGACUGAAGUAAUGAUUAAUAGGGAUAGUUGGGGGCAUUAGUAUUUAAUUGUCAGAGGUGAAAUUCUCGGAUUUGUUAAAGACUAACUUAUG